CCCGUUUUGUUUUCUCUUUAGCACAGUGAAUUGCCGAAGAUACCCUCCACUAAACCUUUUCACCUCUUACCCUUCGUGUUUAUUCCGCUGCGAAUGUUUCGUUCGAUGAGAGAAGGCGUCCAUCUCUGGUUGAUUUCGAACCAGUUGGUUGGCCUGGUUGGGGGGCAGCGAUGGAAGAUCUGUGUUCACUGUUCUACAUGCGUGGGGGGCCGUCGAUUUUCGUUUGGGGAGGAUCGCUGCAUAUCCAGCCGCCCUUUUGGUCUUCAUCUCAUUGGUUUUCCUCUCAGAUGUUGCGUGCGAGGGUUGCCGUUCCAGCUGCGCUUCAUCCUUCUUCUCAUCGCAAGGGUUUAGCUAAAAGGGAUUUCUAGGUUUCGUUAAAAAAGGUUGGUUUUAAGUUAACGUUCUUUUGGUUUUCUAGGUUGGUUUAUUCAUUUGUCAUGUCGAAAAUUGAGCAGUAAGUCAGAAAUUGAGUUUGGUUUUUUUGUUACAGGGAGGAAGAUUGAAGGAAAAAGAACUGGAGUAAUCAAUAUAGGAACCCCAGUUGCUCAUCAAUGUGGUAAUUGAUGUCUGUGUGGCUGAUUUUUUGUUUGCCAGUGGUUUUAGACUCCUCCAUUUUUUAUUUUUAAUGACUCCAGAUCAGAACUAUAAUUCUAAGAGAUGUAGCUAGAAUGAUUGUCCAGAGAUGUAGCAAGACAGAAGGUUGCGUGUUCUGAGAAUUGUGUGUAGAGAAAAUAUACUAUCUUUUCUCUUCUUAAUGCUGCUUAAUUGUUGUUUUGCUUUAGCAUAUUUUUUUAUGAACAUAGUCUCAUCCAACUGGAGAAAUUAAUAUAGGAACCCUCUGCAUGUGCAUUUUUUAUUUAUUAAUUAAGGGUCGAGAUUAUGAAUGACACCUGUCAUUAUUAGUUUUCAGAAUUCUUCCCUUUUUACUUUCGACAAAAAGUUCAGAUUGAAACUAUGAUCCCUCAUUCAAAAAGAUGACCAACUAUUUUACACGCCAAAGUUUCUUUAUACUUGGAUGGUAUGUACUUGGAUUCAUUGAAACAAUUGAGAUUGAGUGCCUAUAUCUUAGCAGCUGACUUUGAGCCUUAAAGUUUUCACAUAUUUAUGAUGACCCAGACUUGGGCCCGUUGCAAUAAUUGAGAUUCGGGUGCCUAGGUCUAAGCAGCUGAAUUUGAGUCAUUAAUUUGUCAGAUGUAUAUGAUUUUGAUUGCUCUUCAGGUUUCUUUAUUAGUUAUUUUCCCCUAAUCACAAUUGUUUCGCUUCCAGAAACUAAUGGCAUCUUUCGUUCAUUUUGCAAGAUUGGUGUAUACUAUGGUACUCCACAAGUGACAUCUGGAGGAAUUCCAUUAAAAUUCUUUGCCUCAGUUCGGCUUGAAAUAUGUUCUACAUGGAAGAUAAAGUCUGUAAGAACAAUAGCCAUUGUUUCUUACUGCAUGACAGCUAUUUGAUGGAUGAGUAUAUUUAUCUUUGUAGGUCAUCUAAUAGAGUUUGAUCUAUAUUGUUUGCUCAUAGAACGUACUUCUAUACUGAUUAGGUAAUGGAGAUGGAAGAAAUUGGGGUUCGGGUUCGUGUAAGAGUGCAAAAGAGUAAGGUAAUUUUGAAUGCAUCAAAAUGGUUUCUGCAUUUGUGUGGGUUGUACACCAUGUACAGAAAGAACAUUUCUAUUACUUUUGCCUUUAUGAUUACUUAAGCAGUAAUUGCACUUUCAGUAAAAAUUUCAUAACUGGUAUAAAGUAUGACAAGUUGUCUUGCCAAUUCUUAAAGGUUCUGUCUAAUUUCUCAAAGUUUUUUUUGUCCCAAUUCUACAUUGUGCUAGAAGUGCAGCCUGUGACCAUGAAAACCAUUGUAACAAUUGACAAAUUGUUAAAUUCCCCUUUUGAUUUUUCUAAUGUUAUGAAACUGCUUCCAUCCUUUUUGAAGGCUAAAGGAUUUUGUUAUGAUAUUUGCUUAUGCUUUUGGACGAGAGACUUUUGUCAACUGCAAUCUCUUGAUUCCCAGAUUUUGCCAAACCUUUAUUAAAACUUAAUGAUUGCAGUUAAUUAUAUCUCUUAUUUAAUUUGUUUCAUCCACUUUGUUAUGUUUCUAUUUUGAAAAGAUGCUUAUCUCAUAUUUUGUUGUUGUGAAUUUUCAGUUUUUGCAAGAUGUUAACCAUGUACGAGAGAGUCAAGAAGAGGCUGUGAGUAGAAGUAGGUUCUUUGCAGGCUAGACAAGGUUGAAAAUGGUUUUUUUUCUUUUCUUUUUCCUGUUUUUGUUCGAAACUUUUUGUUCAUAUAUUCUCCCUGAAUUUUAUGUUCAAAGUAGUUAAAUUUUCGUCCAAAAUGUUUUAUUUGUGUUUCUUGAUUUGAAUGAAAGUUUGGUAUUUUAUCCUUCUUUUUGGGUUUCUUUCAUUCAUAGUCUUCGUAUUUUCCUUUUCGUAGUAAACUCUUAUAUCACAAUUCCUGCAUAUAUCAAAACUAACAAAGCUGUGGUGAUUGAGUUAUAGUUUCUAAGUAUGACACAUUUUGAAUACCAAUUCACGUCCUAAAGACAUGAAAAAAUUUGCUAUUCAGUGGAAUAUUUGUUCUUAAAUUUGUUUUACUCUCUGCUUUUUGCUCUUCCGAUUACUUUUUUUUAUACUUAAUGAUCUGCUAUCCAUGACGUGUAAAUAACGUAGUAGCAUAUUUAAAUUCUUCUUAAGGGGUGUUUUGAAUCAAGGGUUGGUUCUAUUCUUCAAGAAGACGUCUAUCUUGGCAAACUAAAUUGAGCUUGAGCUUAUGGGUUAAAUAUUGUGCCAUAUUUUUGUUGCACUGUUUCUUUUAUUAUUCUUAUAUGCAGGGAUGGUUUCUUUUCUUUUCUUUUCAGUUUCAAACAGAUUUACAGUUCUUUUCUCUUGCUUAAAUUUUGUGAAAUAUAUGUAUAUGGAGAGCCCAGAUUAAGAAAUAGCGGUUAUGCAUUAUGUUGCCUUUUUCUUGGGUUUCACGAUGGAAUACAAUGUGUUCAGUUGGUGUUUUUAGCUGAGAUUGUGAUGACUUUCAUUUUGUGGAUUUUCAGUUUUUGCAAGAUGGUAGUAGUGUAUGAGAGAGUCAAGAGAAGGCUGUGAGUAGAAGGCGGUUCUUUGCUGGCUAGACAAGGUUGAAUAUGGUUUUUAUUUUAUUUAUUUUUCCUGUUUUUGUUAGACCCUUUUUGUUCACUUAUUCUCCCUGAAUAUUAUGCCCAAAGUAGUAAAAUAAAUUAUUGCAACUAUUCAAAAGUAUAUUUAUGUUUGGCAUCAUCUCAUGUUGUGUACGAAUUGAGCAAUGAAAAGGUGAAAGAUAAAUUACAGAGAAACAUGUGGUGCAAGUGUUACAUUUGUAUUGUUUUGGUUUCAUUCUUUUGUUGUACUAAUGCCUCAUUGCCUUUGGUUUCACAAGAAGAGGCUAUGAGUAGGAGGUUCUUUCAGGCUAGACAAGGUUGAAAUUUUUUUUUUUCUUUUUCCUGUUUUCAUUCGAAAAGUUCACUUAUUGUCCUUGAAUUUAUGCUCAAAGUAGUUAAAUUUUCGUCCAAAAUGUUUUAUUUGUGUUUCUUGAAUUGAAUGAAAGCUUGGUAUUUCAUCCUUUUUUUGGGGUUUCUUUCAUUUCAUACUGUCUUCAUAUCUUUUGCUUUGUCUUUUCCUCCACUGGUGAUCAGAGACCCAAAAAAAACUACCUUACAAAUGUGAUUAAACUUGAAUUUUCUUUUAAAACUUGUUCAUAGCCAAUUGCUAUUAUACCAUUUUUAAUAAUCUGUUACAAACUUGAUUUUAACCUAUGUAUUUGCUUGAACAUUAAUUUCUCAAUGUUAACACAAGUCUUAUUGAUCAACUCUUAUCGUUAAUUCUGCAAUCUACCAUAGGCUAAUUAGGUCAUUUUAUAUUUCUUGAGUUGCAAGUGUUGUGCUACAAAUUUCAAGUGGAACCAAAUGUUAUUCUACUAAGAUUUAUGAUCCAACUUUAGAUUGUGGUCAAGUAAAGGUAGCUAUCUACACAUAUGCUCAUGAGUCAUAACUACUUCAAUUUAAUAUAACACAUCUGGAAUUAUGUGUAUGCCACCAAAAAGUUUUAGCAAUUAUUUUCUCCAUGGAAAUAAACAAAAAAAAUAUAAUAUAAUUUGAACAUGAAUAUUUGACUCUAUAUUUGACUCUUAACACGUCUUAUUGAUCAACUCUUACUGUUAAUCUGCCAUUUUCCAUGAUUUUGGCCUUCUAUUUAUAUUUAGAAUAUUGAUUGCGUUCAACUCGGAUCUUACUUUUUAGAUCACAACAUCAAUUAAAAUUCAAGAAUGGAUUACCUUUUUAUGGUCUAUUUGUCACUAACAUUUAGAUGUAAUGAACAAAACUAUAAUCUAUAGCCUGUUAUUUCUGCCUCAAUAACUUGUAGGUGUCUAUAGGUUAGUUAUGCUUUUAUAGCUUACUUCUUCAUAGAUUAACUUAGCCUAUAAAUGGCAAUACAUGUAUCAGUUUUGACCAUAUAGAUUAUCUCCGCUUCUGUACAACAAACUUGCGCAUGGUUUGAUUCUGUUAUAGGUAUUUGGUUUGAUUCUAUUAAAGUGUGGAUCUUUUAGUUUCAUUAUGUUGUAGGUAUUUAAUAAUUUGUGCAGUGACUAAAAUUUCCACCAGAUUCGUACAAUGCUUGGCGUAUUUAAAUUGUGGUUUAUGCAGUUGAAUAUAUAUAUAUAUAUAUAUAUAUAUAUUUUGCCUUAAUUCUAUAAUAAUAGCCAUUGUCUUUGUUAAAAUUUUCCCAUUUGUCCACACUAACACCUACCAUUUUUCAAAUUUGUAGCAACAGAAUCAACACCCCUUAAUAUGAUUCUAUUAGAGCUUGGGUGUUUUGUCUAAUUCUCUUAUACCUAUUUAAUAAAUUGUCAUAGUUCUAAAUUUGUCAUCAAUUGAUUAAAUAAACUGAGCUUAUACCUUUGUCCAUCAGAUUAAUAGAAUGCUUGAUGUAUCUACACUGUUGUUUGUCCUGUUGAUUUUUUAACUUAAUUAUGUGAUAGUAGUUAUUGCUUUCACUCAAAUUUUUUCAUUUAUCUCCGCUGACACCUGCCAUUUUCUGAAUUUGUACCAACAGAGUUAAAACCCCUGCAGAAGACAAAAAAGAACAUAAACCACUUCUACAAUAGAGCCAGCAAGAGAUAGAUCCACUUUCAAUAGACAUCAAGGCAGAAAAAUCCCCUUCCCCCACAAAUAGAAUAUAUGUAAAGACAAAACUGCUGAUAUUUUGAUUGUUGCUUGGUUUAUUAAAAUAUUGAUCAUAUUUUAAUAAACAUGACAAGCAACGUAUAAAACAUGUUAUUAGUCUUGAUUUUGUAACUUAAAUUUGCUCAUAUUUUCACAACUUUGUACACAUUUUAUAUGAUUUCAUAACCUGCAGCAUCGCGAUUCUUACCACGAUUUUGUUUUUGAUUGUUGCUUGAUUUUACAAUUAUUUGGGCUCUUUCUGAGAAAACUACUGAUGACUUCAAAUCAAUUAUUAUCACGAUUUUGUUUUCAUU
This 5486-nucleotide long non-coding RNA is filed under the name Prunus dulcis (almond). RNAcentral describes it as "sRNA ncRNA". The record is from RNAcentral. Lineage: Eukaryota; Viridiplantae; Streptophyta; Magnoliopsida; Rosales; Rosaceae.